GAUGAAGAACGUAGCGAAAUGCGAUACGUAGUGUGAAUUGCAGAAUUCAGUGAAUCAUCGAAUCUUUGAACGCACCUUGCGCCCUUUGGCUAUUCUGAAGGGCAUGCCUGUUUGAGUAUCGUGAACACCUCAACUCUCAUGGUCUGCCAUGAUGAGCUUGGACUUUGGGGGUCUUGCUGGCCUACUGUCAGCUCCUCUCAAAUGAAUCAGCUUACCAGUGUUUGGUGGCACCACAGGUGUGAUAACUAUCUACGCUUGUGGUUUUCUGCCAGGUAACCUCCAGUGAUGGAGGUUCGCUGGAGCUCACAAAUGUCUCUCCUCAGCGAGGACAGCUUUUUGAACGUUUGAUCUCAAAUCAGGUAGGACUACCCGCUGAACUUAAGCAUAUCAAUAAGCGGAGGA
Molecule: unclassified non-coding RNA, 402 nt
Filed under: soil metagenome
Description: partial contains 5.8S ribosomal RNA, internal transcribed spacer 2, and large subunit ribosomal RNA
Rfam family: 5.8S ribosomal RNA (bases 1-121)
Source: RNAcentral